GGAGGAACAGUGGCUCAGUGGUAGAGCAUCUGCUUGAAAAGCAGAAGGUCGCAGGUUCAAUCCCUGGAAUCUCCA
This is a non-coding RNA of Heteronotia binoei (common prickly gecko), 75 nucleotides long. NCBI's taxonomy places the organism in Eukaryota, Metazoa, Chordata, Lepidosauria, Squamata, Gekkonidae. The record is from the annotation of a RefSeq genome assembly.